Molecule: long non-coding RNA, 211 nt
Organism: Neopelma chrysocephalum (saffron-crested tyrant-manakin)
Lineage: Eukaryota; Metazoa; Chordata; Aves; Passeriformes; Pipridae
Exons: 3
Source: RefSeq, a predicted model, not a curated record
GGAGGAGCAGAAGCAGCCCUGCCAAAAAAAAAUCACCUGGUGAUGAGGAAAACACGACCUUCCCCCUGUCCUCCUCCCCUCCUUUAAAACUCACCUGGUAAAGUCCCAAAACAAAACCUGCACAUCUGUCAAUCCUGGGGCAGGAAGGGGAAAACCCAGAGCCGUGGAAGGUCAAUGUUCUGACAGUGUAUGUUUAGGAACAGUAAUGCUG